AUCACAAAGCCUUACUGAGUUAAGGAGUCUGAUCUAUUUUGUUUUGUGCUCAUAACCCACUAAAGGGUCAAGAUCUACAGUUUGAAGAGUCCUGCAAUGUGGAAGGAAUGUUUUAGUAGGAGUGAGAAACCUGAGUUCUUUGCUAGCUCCACUUUUGAAUAGAAAACUUUGCUCUCACCAGCAAACCAAGGAUUCUGUGACAGGGCACGUGUCUCAGCGGACAACCAGAAAACCCAACACAGGACCAUUAUGCACCUACCUUCUCCACUAAGGAGAAAAAAAAGGAUUCCACACAGACAAUGAAUGCUAUAGAGGACCCUAACUGAGAACCUUAACUAAUCUCUUUCCUCAAAACAAGGUGGUGUAGGGGCCAAAGACUGGAUAAACUGAAGCAAGUCUAAGAAGAAACUGAAGGUCUCACAAAUCCACAGGCCACCCAGAUACCACAGGAGCUGAUUAAGUCCUGACUGUCCUGUCGCUGUGUCCCAGAGGUGUUCUUGCCUUAAGACAGACUCCAAAUUGCUUUACUUACAAAGUGCUUUCCAACAAGUUAUUCCACCACCAGUUGCAAACUCUAAUGCUGGCUUUUUUGAGGCCAGUUUUGACAAAAAUUCCUUUGAUACUGUAUUUUAAAGUUAAAAAUCGUGUUACCUUAUUAUUCUACAUCCUUAGCAUUUGACCAUUUCAAUGGCUAGAAAUGCAAUAGUCAAUAUUAUUCAUUGAAAUUCAAUAUUCAUUUAAAACUCUUAUUAAAGUUACUGAAAUAUUU
Molecule: non-coding RNA, 769 nt
Organism: Leptonychotes weddellii (Weddell seal)
Lineage: Eukaryota; Metazoa; Chordata; Mammalia; Carnivora; Phocidae
Source: RefSeq, a predicted model, not a curated record